Molecule: transfer RNA, 77 nt
Filed under: Streptomyces antibioticus
Lineage: Bacteria; Bacillati; Actinomycetota; Actinomycetes; Kitasatosporales; Streptomycetaceae
Also listed under: 102 other names
Description: tRNA-Lys
Rfam family: tRNA
About the family: Transfer RNA (tRNA) molecules are approximately 80 nucleotides in length.
Source: RNAcentral
GCGCCGCUAGCUCAGUUGGUUAGAGCAGCUGACUCUUAAUCAGCGGGUCCGGGGUUCGAGUCCCUGGCGGCGCACGA